GACGAACGCUGGCGGCGUGCUUAACACAUGCAAGUCGAACGGUGACGAGGAGCUUGCUCCUCCGAUCAGUGGCGAACGGGUGAGUAACACGUGAGCAACCUGCCCCAGACUCUGGGAUAACAGUUGGAAACAGCUGCUAAUACCGGAUACGAGACGGAGAGGCAUCUCUACCGUCUGGAAAGUUUUUCGGUCUGGGAUGGACUCGCGGCCUAUCAGCUAGUUGGUGAGGUAAUGGCUCACCAAGGCGACGACGGGUAGCCGGCCUGAGAGGGCGACCGGCCACACUGGGACUGAGACACGGCCCAGACUCCUACGGGAGGCAGCAGUGGGGAAUAUUGCACAAUGGGCGAAAGCCUGAUGCAGCGACGCCGCGUGAGGGAUGACGGCCU
Molecule: ribosomal RNA, 389 nt
Filed under: uncultured bacterium
Lineage: Bacteria
Description: bacterial SSU rRNA
Rfam family: Bacterial small subunit ribosomal RNA
Source: RNAcentral